Molecule: long non-coding RNA, 1950 nt
Filed under: Amborella trichopoda
Lineage: Eukaryota; Viridiplantae; Streptophyta; Magnoliopsida; Amborellales; Amborellaceae
Description: long non-coding RNA (ATRI_LNC002833)
Source: RNAcentral
AAAUAUUGGAGGAGACUGAUAUGGAAAAGGUAAGAUAUCUAAUUGUAUAUAUAUUUUUUUAUGUGUUUCAAUUGUCAUGCACCCAUUCAACUUGAACACAUAAUUACCUUAAAAAAAAAAAAAAAAAAGCUAUAUGUUUAUAAAAAAAUCACACAAUUUUAAUCAAAUUAUUUGAUUUUGAUUCAAAUUAAUUGUUUUAAAUAUCAUAAUAAUCAUAUCCAUCAUGAUUAGCCUAAUAAUUGUUUAUAUUAGUGAAUUGUAUGUCUUUUCUUUUUCAAUGUUAUUGUAAUUAAUAUGGUAAUAAACAUCAUACCUAUUUUAGUUUAAAUUUUAAGGAAAUAAUACAAACUUUUAAGGGUUAUGCUAUUUUGUAUAAUUUAGAACUUCUUUGGUAAGCUUUUGUAUAAUAUAAUAAAAUUAAGCUGAUCAUGGAAAGUUGAUUUCAGAUAAACAACUUAAAGAUACCUUAUGCAAUAACUCUGAAGAAAGAUAACCAACUCAAAGAUGCCGUGUGAAAUAAAACUGCAAGUGUGAAAAAAUGGCUUGAAUCACCGACAAAAAAUUAAAGAAUCAUUAAUUUCCUAAUAGAAAAUUCUGAAAACUGUUGAAUCAUCACCAAAAUAAAACAAUGUCGAUUUCUUAAUGGAAAUUGGAGAAUGCUCAUUUGUUGAGAGAAGUAGGAAAGAUUAAGUUCACAACAAAAAUGGAAGAUUUAGGUAUGGAGCAAAAAUUAUGGUAAAAAUUGGAGAAUGCUCAUUUGUUGAGAGAAGUAGGAAAGAUUAAGUUCACAACAAAAAUGGAAGAUUUAGGUAUGGAGCAAAAAUUAUGGUAAAGUUUAUAGUCGAGUGCAACAAGUUGGAAUGAAGUCUGAUGAACACAUAAUUUUUCAAAUAUUUGUAAACUUCAAAGGAUGAGAAAUACCGAGAGUAUUGUUUAAACGAAAAAAUUACUUAUUUUAUAGGGCCAAUGUUUAAAUAAUGACUUCAAUAAAAUAAAAGGUACUAAUAUGUACUUUUAAAUUUGUUAAAUACAAAAAAAAUUCUUUUAUUUUUAUGAAUGAAAAAAAAAAUUUAUUUUGAACCAAUCAGCAUUAUUUCUUUUAUAUUGUAACUUUUGGUAUUAUUUUGUACUCCCUUUACUUCUUUUAUAGAAGAACACUAAUAUGUAUUUUUUAUUUCUUAAAUGCAAAAAAAAAAUUUCAUUUAUGUGAAAGGCCAAAAAAAAUUUGUACUUUUUUGGUAUUAUUUUAUACUCCCUGGAAAAAAAAAAGCUUUCGAGAAUGAAUAUAAGAGAAUUUGGUAUUAUUUUAUACUCCUUUCGAAAAAAAGCUUUCGAGAAUGAAUAUAAGAGAAUUUGGGGAUGUUUGAACUUAAUCGAACUCAUGCUAGUAGUGCGCAUAGACAUAUCAUAGCCAUAUAAGCCAGAAUGAAUUUGGAAUAGAGCCACAUGAAUUAGUUGUGAAUACAUUACUGUGACGACCCAGAUUUUUUUCGACCUAUAAGAGUGUACGGCGAAGAGAAGAAGAUAAAGUGUGUACGGUGGUGAAAAAGUACGCACAGCGAUGAAGAGAGAAGAACAAGAGAACGUGCGCACGGCGGUGAGAAAGUAUACACGACGGUUAAGAAAGAAGAAGAAAAGAAAGUGCGUAUGGCGGUGAAGAGAGAAGAAGAAUAAGAGCACACGACAGUGAGAAAGCGCACGGCAGUGGGAGAGGGCGUGCAUCAGAGUGAACACGCGGCAAUGUGAGAUGUGGGCCGUCGGGUGCAGCUUUAUGGGGUGGUUCAGGGGACUUUCUCUUAUUUUCUCUCAUAUUUAUGAACCAUUUAUCCCUUACUUGUUAAUUAAUUUGUGUGGCAUGUGUAUGCCACUUGUCAAGUGUAUGCCAUGUGUAGGUCUCGUGAUGCCACUUGUUGCAUGCUACCUCUUUCCUUUUUCUAUUUAUUUCGCCCC